CUGGAGUCUUAAUCGAAGUAGGCAGCGGGGUAUCAAUGCAAACGGUUGAAAUGCAUAGUUCCUUGUGGGCGACCAGUCUUGGAUGAACACAUCUGUUGCCAGAGCUGAUGGGUCUGGUCUCCAACUGAAAAAUCUGGGGAGUUGUGUAUUCAAGCGGGAGGCGAAAAGAUCCUUGUCCAUGGGGCCCCAUAACGACUGGAUGUCUCUGAAGACUCUGGGGUCCAGUUGCCAAUCACU
Molecule: non-coding RNA, 237 nt
Organism: Pelobates cultripes (western spadefoot toad)
Lineage: Eukaryota; Metazoa; Chordata; Amphibia; Anura; Pelobatidae
Source: the annotation of a GenBank genome assembly